GCUUAUGGCCAUACCACCCUGAGCACGCCCGAUCUCGUCUGAUCUCGGAAGCUAAGCAGGGUCGGGCCUGGUUAGUACUUGGAUGGGAGACCGCCUGGGAAUACCAGGUGCUGUAAGCU
Ribosomal RNA from Betta splendens (Siamese fighting fish), 119 nucleotides. The record is from Ensembl. Lineage: Eukaryota; Metazoa; Chordata; Actinopteri; Anabantiformes; Osphronemidae.